Molecule: long non-coding RNA, 1960 nt
Filed under: Ananas comosus (pineapple)
Lineage: Eukaryota; Viridiplantae; Streptophyta; Magnoliopsida; Poales; Bromeliaceae
Description: long non-coding RNA (ACOM_LNC009994)
Source: RNAcentral
CUGUAUUUAAUUUAUCUAAUUUAUAAUCAGAUCUGUAAUAUGGUAUUACAAAUGAUGUAAGUUUACACGAAAAAUACUACAGAGUGGGAGGUAGGUAUCUCGGAUUAUUGAAGGUGGAUAAUCGUGCAUAUUAUGUUAAAUUAAAAUUUACCCCUCCAACCUUCCAAACUCUUUUAAUACAUCAUUUUUAAAAUUUUUAAUUAAAAUUUUGAAUUGUCAAAUUUUUAAAUUUUAAAUUUUAAAUUUCAAAUUUAGAUUUUAAAUUUUAAAUUUUAAAUAAAUUUAUAUUUAUUAUUUAAAAAUUAAAAUUUUAAAACUAAAAUUUUUAAAUUUUUAAAUUUCAAAAUUUUAUUUUAAAUUAAAAUAUUAUAUUUUAUAUUUUUGGAUUUAAAAUUUUUAAUUUUUAAUUUUGAUUUAAAUUCAAAUUUUAAAUUAUUUUAAAAUAAAAUUUAAUAAAAAAUUAUUAUUUGCUUAUUAAUGGAAUUAAUUUAAGUGUAAAUUGUAUUAAGUUAUAGUUUAGUUAAUAAUGAUAUUGAAUAUGACCAAAGGCGAUUUAGGAAUAAUUUCCAUUUUAUUGUCAAAAUUACUGAAUUUUAUAAAAUACACCAAAUAUAGUAAUUCUAUAUACACUAUAAUUCAGUAUUAUAUUACUGCAUUAAACCAAAUGCAGUAAUGCAAGAUCAGUAGUAAUCUAAUUCAAAAAUCUCAAAUGCAUGGGUACAUCGAAACCACUUGUAAUACAAAAAUGCUCUAUUUCAGUUUUUUUUAAUUGAAAAAUGAUUAAUUGUACACUCCUAUUUGGGGUAUAUAUCUUACACUCCAAAUAGAGGUGAUUAAGAUUAAAUAGAAUUUUAUUUUCAAUGAAUGAAGCAGGUAGCGUGCUACCUUUUCUCAAAAAAAAAGAUUAAAUAGAAUUUUAAGUGCGUUUUAUUCUCAUCCUGCCUUUAUUUCGUUUCACACCUUUUCCUAUUGCUUUCUCCUAAGCUCUUUCUCUCAUGCACUCUAGGAAUCCUAGCAUCCAACCUUCUCAGAGCUUUCUUUUGCUCUCGUCUCUCUUCAUCAGUAGGAGCUCGUCUCUCGUCGCUUGUAAAACGCUCCGCUACUAUGACGCCCCAACUUCCCAGGAGUUACCCAUCCUAGGACUACUCCCGUCCUAGCACGCUUAACUCUCUUAACCUUUUGUGCCUAGCCACCACCCAAAAUGCUUAAGUCGGGUUUAAAGUAUUAGCCCUAUUAUAUCAUAUAUAUAUUGGAUUACUUGGAGUCUCUCAUUCUCCCUCUCUUUAAGUCCUGACGUUAUUGUCAAGCUUAAACUCACAAGUACUAGGCGAUGUGAAACUCGUCCUAGCCUAAAUCGACCUUGUGGUAAGUUGUGCUCCAUCCACAACAGUCAAUAGUAUAAGAGCCUCGCUCUCCGCUGUAUAAUCCUAACUCAGCCGAAACUCAUCUCACACUUCCGGCUAGUAAUUGGUUCUGAUACCAACUAUGACGCCCCAACUUCUUAGGGGGCCACUCAUCUUAGGACUAUUUCCGUUCUAGCAUGCUUAACUCUUUUAACAUCUUAGGCCUAGCCACUUGUCGAGGACUUAGAAAAAUUUCUAUGUAGCCCGGUCCCUGGCCCAAAUCUGCUUAGUGAGUUCGGGUUGGAAACGGGUUGAAUCGGGUUGUCAAGGAGACCCAAACCCAACCCGCUGUGGAAAACUCAAGGGUUAUGAAACUCAUGGGAGUUAUGGGUGACUCUUGAACUUUUGGCUAUUAUGAGGGCACAUUAUGUAUGCAAUAGUAUGUGAGUUAUGUGGCUAGUAGGUGAGUUAUGAGGGCUCAUUAGGCCUAUAAAUAGUGGGGUUGGCUAAGGCCAAGAUACACAAGAGAGAUUGUGUUGUAUGCUGUAAUCUCUUUUUCUAAAUAGUGUAGUACUUAGUUUUUUUUUAGAAAACAUCUGUCUCUUUCUCUUGUUAUU